GCACUAGUGCAGAUCAGCACGGCGGUCACCAGCAGCUUGCGCCAGCAGCUCCGGUGUUCACAGCAAGGGGUGGCGGCCAGUGCCGGCGGCCGGCGGCCAGCAGCAGCUUUUUUGCAGGGGGUGCUCUCGGCAGCAGCAAACAGGAGGGCGAAUCAGACUAGCAGCUUGUGUCUUGCUUUUGUUUAUGAUUUGAUUUUGCAGGUCAUUAAUCACCGGAGCUUGUGCACGUGUUUUACUGAAUUAUUUCUUGGCCGGCUCCUAGGACAAGCAAUUUACUUCUGUAACUUCAUGAUACUUGUGUUUGUGUAUGUUCUGCUCUUGAUUGUGUGCAGGUUCCACUGAUCCCAGGCGACAGCAACGAUAGCAGCUCAGGGUGCAUGCCUGACGCACUAGGUGAGCAGCGACGGCACCAAGCAAGAAGCAUCUCGUCAGCAAGUUGUUAGUUCUUCUCAGUGUAGGAAUCGGCAGCAAGGUAAAUUCCUUCUUUGUUUAUUCAAGCAAUGGCUGCUCAGAUGGUUAAUUAUCCGUUAGCUUACUAGCCUUUUAUUUAGCUGGAAUUUGUGCUCAUGGUAAUUUUGCUCUUUAGUGCCUUGUGCUAGUUAGCUAUAUCUUUUAGUCUUUGCAUGCUUUAUUGAUCGAGGUAGAUUAGUGCAAGAGGUUGAUUAGUGCAAGUCCUUUUUUUGGUGAGACUCAUUAUUAGCUUUUUGGAUGAGCUUUGCUUUUGCUUACUUUGAGCUUUGCUAAUAUUUAUGAAAUCAUUAUAUGCUCAUUGAAGUAAGCUUUUUACGAGUCUAGUUUGAAAAGCUUUUUCGGCGCUUUGAUUUAUCGUCGCUUCCGCUUUCUAUUGUGCCUUGCUCGAGUAAAUAGCUUUUCACGUGCUUCCGCUUUGCGUCGAGAUUUUUCUAACCAUUCCUAGGGUGAGCUCGUCACAAGUUGGCUUGUGUCACCUUGGCGAUUAAAAGAGAGGUGCGUCGGGUUGAAUUCGGGAUAUAGGCCUUGUUUUCUUGGAGAAUUUUUAAAGGCUCCCAUUCACCCCCCCCCCCCUCCCCCUCUGAUCGCUUAUCUGGUCCUUCAAUUGGUAUCAAAGUCGGUUGGGAUCACUCCUUGCCCUAACCGGUCUCUGUGAUCCACAGGGCGACAACGGGAAGAUGCUUUUGCUUGCGGAUUUAAUUUUCACGAUUUGAGCUCGCUUUCACUAACACUAAUCGGUGCUUUCAGCAAUGGCACCAAGUUCCUCUAUUUGUGUGUCUUUUUUCACAGAUUUUGAUGAAAAUGUGAUUGCAACCGGAAAUGACCGCCAGUGGAGGAACAAGAGGAUUGAUCGAGCGGUAAUGAGACAAAAGCACCGUAAGCUUGCCAAGGUUAAGGAGCGUGCCUACGCUACCUCCCUCGACGACAUCAUUUGUGACUCCGACAAUGAUGAUGAUGAUGCUCCUUGUCCAAAUAAAGUUGUGAGUGAUCUUGAUGUGAUGGAUCAAGUGGAGCUCAAAUUGAAGGAUGGGCUUUCGAUCGUCGAUCCCUUACCCGAGCUUGACAAGGUACCGCACGGUCGUGCUUUUGCAUAGGGGAGAAAGGAGCGCCAUGUCUGCCGUUCCUGUUUCAGGUGACGUUGACCAAGAAUGAUUCAUCCUGCCAAUGGGCGCUAAAAACCGUUGGUAGAUAGUGCCUUCGGGACGGCCGGACACUACAAUAGCUUCAGAAAGCACAGUGACAAACACGGUAGUUAAUGGUCGCCUUCGAACAAGUGUCCGAAAAUGUAUUAAUUUUGUAUUCAAUAUCCCACCAAUGGACUGUUAUACGGGUAUUUAUAGGUGACUGUUUACUACCCUAUCUA
This is a long non-coding RNA of Panicum virgatum (switchgrass), 1834 nucleotides long. RefSeq lists it as uncharacterized. NCBI's taxonomy places the organism in Eukaryota, Viridiplantae, Streptophyta, Magnoliopsida, Poales, Poaceae. The record is from RefSeq and is a predicted model, not a curated record. The transcript is spliced from 2 exons.